AUUGAACGCUGGCGGCAUGCCUUACACAUGCAAGUCGAACGGCAGCGGGGGAGAAGCUUGCUUUUCCUGCCGGCGAGUGGCGAACGGGUGAGUAAUACAUCGGAACGUGCCCUGUAGUGGGGGAUAACUAGUCGAAAGAUUAGCUAAUACCGCAUACGACCUGAGGGUGAAAGUGGGGGACCGCAAGGCCUCAUGCUAUAGGAGCGGCCGAUGUCCGAUUAGGUAGUUGGUGGGGUAAGGGCCAACCAAGGCGACGAUCAGUAGCUGGUCUGGGAGCACGACCAGCCACACUGGAACUGAGACACGGUCCAGACUCCUACGGGAGGCAGCAGUGGGGAAUUUUGGACAAUGGGCGAAAGCUUGAUCCAGCCAUUCCGCGUGCAGGAUGAAGGCCCUCGGGUUGUAAACUGCUUUUGUACAGAACGAAAAGGUUUCUACUAAUACUAGGAGCUCAUGACGGUACUGUAAGAAUAAGCACCGGCUAACUACGUGCCAGCCGCCGCGGUAA
This 508-nucleotide ribosomal RNA is filed under the name uncultured bacterium. Its description in RNAcentral is "partial 16S ribosomal RNA". It matches the Rfam family "Bacterial small subunit ribosomal RNA", at positions 30 to 523 of the family's 1533-position model. The record is from RNAcentral.